AGCUCGUCAUACCAGGUGCUCACCCAGGCCGUGGGGCCUCUGCAGCCUGAGUUUUUCUGCUCCAAAGAAUUAUUUGGAGGAAGGAGAAAGCAUCGGGGACAUGGAGACACCUCAGCCAGCAUCUGGAUGGGCCUGAUAACCUAUGUGAGCCUACUUAUGCUGACUCCAAAAAUCCUGAGUCUGCCGUCUGAUCCUCAAGACAACGCCUUCCUGUCCUGGGCUCACUCCUAUGCAGCAUUUCACAAUCAGUCUAACUGCUGGAUUUGUGGCGCGCUCCCCUCUUCAUCAGUGGAAGGCUUCCCAUGGUAGACAUCUCCACUUCAAGGAAAAGACUUUCUCCAAGUCUGCGAAUACCUUCGACAACAAUCAUAUGUGAUGCCUCGUCUUAAACUGAUGACAUCUAACAACCCUAUAAUGGACUGGUGCAACACGUUGUUCUUUAACUAUGGACAUAAUGUGACGUUUAAUUUUGAUUAUACAUUGUCUCGGUUCAAUGACUAUUUUGCUACACACAAGGCAAAUAGGUCUAAAUCUCAUGGUUUUUUACCUGACGUUUAUCAAAUAUGGGAUGAGGUUAUAUGGUUAACUCCUGAAAAAGGUGUCUAAUAUCUACUGCCCCUAUUUGCUGGGAACAAAUAGAGCCAUCCCCAGAAUUUAGUCAACAACUUAAAUUAUAGUGAUUGGAAACCCUUGGGAUUUUUGCCUCAGGAAAUAUGCAAUGUAAUCAUUCCCGUGUUUUCCAACCCCAAUUCAGGUCCUCCCUUUGUCUGGCCAGGCACUGAUUGGGACU
Non-coding RNA from Odocoileus virginianus texanus, 790 nucleotides. The record is from RefSeq and is a predicted model, not a curated record. NCBI's taxonomy places the organism in Eukaryota, Metazoa, Chordata, Mammalia, Artiodactyla, Cervidae.